This 1357-nucleotide ribosomal RNA is filed under the name Salmonella enterica subsp. enterica serovar Goldcoast. Its description in RNAcentral is "partial 23S ribosomal RNA". It matches the Rfam family "Bacterial large subunit ribosomal RNA", at positions 568 to 1907 of the family's 2925-position model. The record is from RNAcentral. Lineage: Bacteria; Pseudomonadati; Pseudomonadota; Gammaproteobacteria; Enterobacterales; Enterobacteriaceae.
AAGCAGAGGGGGCUUAGUGGUGGGGUGACUGCGUACCUUUUGUAUAAUGGGUCAGCGACUUAUAUUCUGUAGCAAGGUUAACCGAAUAGGGGAGCCGGAGGGAAACCGAGUCUUAACCGGGCGUUAAGUUGCAGGGUAUAGACCCGAAACCCGGUGAUCUAGCCAUGGGCAGGUUGAAGGUUGGGUAACACUAACUGGAGGACCGAACCGACUAAUGUUGAAAAAUUAGCGGAUGACCUGUGGCUGGGGGUGAAAGGCCAAUCAAACCGGGAGAUAGCUGGUUCUCCCCGAAAGCUAUUUAGGUAGCGCCUCGUGAAUUCAUCUCCGGGGGUAGAGCACUGUUUCGGCUAGGGGGGCAUCCCGACUUACCAACCCGAUGCAAACUGCGAAUACCGGAGAAUGUUAUCACGGGAGACACACGGCGGGUGCUAACGUCCGUCGUGAAGAGGGAAACAACCCAGACCGCCAGCUAAGGUCCCAAAGUCAUGGUUAAGUGGGAAACGAUGUGGGAAGGCCCAGACAGCCAGGAUGUUGGCUUAGAAGCAGCCAUCAUUUAAAGAAAGCGUAAUAGCUCACUGGUCGAGUCGGCCUGCGCGGAAGAUGUAACGGGGCUAAACCAUGCACCGAAGCUGCGGCAGCGACACUAUGUGUUGUUGGGUAGGGGAGCGUUCUGUAAGCCUGCGAAGGUGUCUCGUGAGGGAUGCUGGAGGUAUCAGAAGUGCGAAUGCUGACAUAAGUAACGAUAAUGCGGGUGAAAAACCCGCACGCCGGAAGACCAAGGGUUCCUGUCCAACGUUAAUCGGGGCAGGGUGAGUCGACCCCUAAGGCGAGGCCGAAAGGCGUAGUCGAUGGGAAACAGGUUAAUAUUCCUGUACUUGGUGUUACUGCGAAGGGGGGACGGAGAAGGCUAUGUUAGCCGGGCGACGGUUGUCCCGGUUUAAGCAUGUAGGCGGAGGUUCCAGGUAAAUCCGGUACCUUAUUAACGCUGAGGUGUGAUGACGAGGCACUACGGUGCUGAAGUAACAAAUGCCCUGCUUCCAGGAAAAGCCUCUAAGCAUCAGGUAACAUCAAAUCGUACCCCAAACCGACACAGGUGGUCAGGUAGAGAAUACCAAGGCGCUUGAGAGAACUCGGGUGAAGGAACUAGGCAAAAUGGUGCCGUAACUUCGGGAGAAGGCACGCUGAUAUGUAGGUGAAGUGGUUUACCCAUGGAGCUGAAAUCAGUCGAAGAUACCAGCUGGCUGCAACUGUUUAUUAAAAACACAGCACUGUGCAAACACGAAAGUGGACGUAUACGGUGUGACGCCUGCCCGGUGCCGGAAGGUUAAUUGAUGGGGUUAUCCGUAAGGAGAAGCUC